This 104-nucleotide small nuclear RNA is filed under the name Colobus angolensis palliatus. Lineage: Eukaryota; Metazoa; Chordata; Mammalia; Primates; Cercopithecidae. The record is from RNAcentral.
GUGCUCAUUUCAGCAGCACAUAUAGUAAAAUUAGACUGAUACAGAGAUUAGCACAGCCCCUGUGCAAAGAUGACACGCAAAUUCAUAAAGCAUUUCAUUAAAAA